This 526-nucleotide ribosomal RNA is filed under the name Austrochloritis abrotonus. RNAcentral describes it as "partial large subunit ribosomal RNA". The stretch from base 191 to 346 matches the Rfam family "Bacterial large subunit ribosomal RNA", at positions 1793 to 2011 of the family's 2925-position model. Lineage: Eukaryota; Metazoa; Mollusca; Gastropoda; Stylommatophora; Camaenidae. The record is from RNAcentral.
GAGUGCAAAGGCUCGCAAAAUAAACAAAAUAUUUAUAUUAUUUGUCAAGGUGUAAAGGCUUUUGAUAUAUUAUACUAAUAUAAUAAUAUUUGGUUUGUUUAAAAUAUGAGAAAGUACAUUAACGUAAGUGAUAUUUAUAAUGUUAUUAUUAGUAGUCAGUAAAGUGUUUUGAAUGAACUCGGCAAAAAGUCCCUUAACUGUUUAUCAAAAACAUAGUCAUAUGGUAAUAUAUAUGGUGUUUUCUGCUCCAUGAAAUAUUUAAAUAGCCGCAGUACAUUGACUGUGCAAAGGUAGCGCAAUCAAUUGACUUUUAAUUGAAGUCCUGUAUGAAAGAACUAAUAGGGGGUAACUGUCUCGAAGGCAUUUCGUGAACUUGCUGAGUAAGUGAAAAUUCUUACAUAUAAUUAAUAGACGAGAAGACCCUAGAAAUUUUAAGAAUUUAAUCCUAAAUCUUUUUGUUGGGGCAACAUAGUAACAGAUAAUCUACUAAUUAACAUGAAAGGUUUGUCUAAUAUGAUUAAAUUAC